Molecule: long non-coding RNA, 346 nt
Organism: Syngnathus acus (greater pipefish)
Lineage: Eukaryota; Metazoa; Chordata; Actinopteri; Syngnathiformes; Syngnathidae
Exons: 2
Source: RefSeq, a predicted model, not a curated record
UUUGCUCCUCCCUAGGUAGGAUUUCAGGGGGUUCCCAUGGUAACCAAUACCAAAUCUGAGCGCACUGGCUAAUCUUCACUACUGAUUGUUGAGACUGUACAUGUGAGUUGCAUACUUUCAGGACCCCUGUUGCUUCUCUUAGAAUUGACGAUGAACAUGUGUGGAACCUCAUCGCUCUGAGUUAUCGUGGCGCCGAUUAAAGGAAGGGACCCUCGCGGCUUCUGGCUCCUUCCUUGUUCGUUGACAUAAUAUAGCAGCAAUCCUAAAUCUGGAUCCAACACAAAGUACCUGCAAAAAUAAAAAUGAAUGAAUUGCUGCUUAAAUAGUUGCAAACAUUCAAAGAUGU